CCUACGGGAGGCAGCAGUGAGGAAUAUUGGUCAAUGGGCGGAAGCCUGAACCAGCCAAGUAGCGUGCAGGAUGACGGCCCUACGGGUUGUAAACUGCUUUUAUACGGAAAUAACGCGCCUUACGUGUAGGGCUUUGCAUGUAUCGUAUGAAUAAGGACCGGCUAAUUCCGUGCCAGCAGCCGCGGUAAUACGGAGGGUCCGGGCGUUAUCCGGAUUUAGUGGGUUAAAAGGGAGCGUAGGCGGCAUGUCAAGCAUGCUGUGAAAUGUCCGGGCGCAACCCGGGCCUUGCAGCGCGAACGGGCGUGCUUGAGUCCGCGGAAGGCAGGCGGAAUUCGUGGUGUAGCGGUGAAAUGCUUAGAUAUGACGAAGAACCCCGAUUGCGAAGGCAGCUUGCUGCAGCGGAACUGACGCUGAUGCUCGAAAGCGCGGGUAUCGAACAGGAUUAGAUACCCUAGUAGUC
This 460-nucleotide ribosomal RNA is filed under the name uncultured bacterium. RNAcentral describes it as "partial 16S ribosomal RNA". It matches the Rfam family "Bacterial small subunit ribosomal RNA", at positions 338 to 795 of the family's 1533-position model. The record is from RNAcentral.